Molecule: ribosomal RNA, 253 nt
Filed under: uncultured bacterium
Lineage: Bacteria
Description: partial 16S ribosomal RNA
Rfam family: Bacterial small subunit ribosomal RNA
Source: RNAcentral
UACGUAGGGGGCUAGCGUUGUCCGGAAUCAUUGGGCGUAAAGAGCGUGUAGGCGGUCCGGUAAGUCCGCUGUGAAAGUCGGGGGCUCAACCCUCGAAUGCCGGUGGAUACUGUCGGGCUAGAGUGCGGAAGAGGCGAGUGGAAUUCCUGGUGUAGCGGUGAAAUGCUUAGAUAUGACAUAGAACACCUAUUGCGAAGGCAGCUUACUACGCAGAUAUUGACGCUCAUGCACGAAAGCGUGGGGAUCAAACAGG